This 77-nucleotide transfer RNA is filed under the name Candidatus Wallbacteria bacterium. RNAcentral's name for it is "tRNA-Pro". It matches the Rfam family "tRNA". From Rfam's summary of the family: Transfer RNA (tRNA) molecules are approximately 80 nucleotides in length. Their secondary structure includes four short double-helical elements and three loops (D, anti-codon, and T loops). The record is from RNAcentral. Lineage: Bacteria; Candidatus Walliibacteriota.
CGGGGCGUGGCGCAGUCUGGUAGCGUACUUGAAUGGGGUUCAAGUGGUCGCUGGUUCGAAUCCAGUCGCCCCGACCA